RNAcentral lists this transfer RNA (63 nucleotides) under Tinodes chinchinus. Its description in RNAcentral is "tRNA-Trp". Lineage: Eukaryota; Metazoa; Arthropoda; Insecta; Trichoptera; Psychomyiidae. The record is from RNAcentral.
AAGAUUUUAAGUUAAAUAAACUAUUAAUUUUCAAAAUUAAAAAUAAAUCAUUUUUAAAUCUUA